Phormidesmis priestleyi Ana is the source of this 175-nucleotide non-coding RNA. The record is from Rfam. Lineage: Bacteria; Bacillati; Cyanobacteriota; Cyanophyceae; Leptolyngbyales; Leptolyngbyaceae.
UGGUUACCGUGAUAGUCUAGUGAAUCUGAGACGUUAUUUUAUGGGGAAAGUUCGGUGCAAAACCGGCGCUGUCCCGCAACUGUGAUGGCGUAAGUGCAACCGUUUUUGACUAUUUUUUAAAGCUGUUUGCAUUGCGUUCCAAAGCCAGAAUGCCCAUACGUCUUCAAUUCACCUG